This 23-nucleotide non-coding RNA is filed under the name Mus musculus (house mouse). Lineage: Eukaryota; Metazoa; Chordata; Mammalia; Rodentia; Muridae. The record is from RNAcentral.
GCAUGCAGGUCCUAUAUGAGCGC